This 279-nucleotide long non-coding RNA is filed under the name Homo sapiens (human). RNAcentral describes it as "HSALNT0196442". Lineage: Eukaryota; Metazoa; Chordata; Mammalia; Primates; Hominidae. The record is from RNAcentral.
UGUGGUGCCAGUCCUGCUGACCUCCUUUCUCGUCCUGUGACUAGUGAUGUCUAAGCUCCUGGGAAUGCAGCCCUGUAGGUCUCAGCCUUAUUUUACCCAGCCCCUAUUCAAGAUGCAGUUGCUCUGGUUGGAACGUCUCUGACAGUAUGAGUUUGGGAAGAGUUGGAAAUGCUGAAGAAGUGACCUGGAGACAGCGAAGGUGUGUUCUCUACCUGGCCAGCGUCAUGUUGCCUGUUUGCUUACUGCACGCAUGGUGACAAAACAGAAGCCUCCAUGUUG